AGUGAACGCUGGCGGUAGGCCUAACACAUGCAAGUCGAACGGCAGCACAGUAAGAGCUUGCUCUUACGGGUGGCGAGUGGCGGACGGGUGAGGAAUACAUCGGAAUCUACUUUUUCGUGGGUGAUAACGUAGGGAAACUUACGCUAAUACCGCAUACGACCUACGGGUGAAAGCAGGGGAUCUUCGGACCUUGCGCGAUUGAAUGAGCCGAUGUCGGAUUAGCUAGUUGGCGGGGUAAGGGCCCACCAAGGCGACGAUCCGUAGCUGGUCUGAGAGGAUGAUCAGCCACACUGGAACUGAGACACGGUCCAGACUCCUACGGGAGGCAGCAGUGGGGAAUAUUGGACAAUGGGCGCAAGCAUGAUCCAGCAAUACCGCGUGGGUGAAGAAGGCCUUCGGGUUGUAAAGCCCUUUUGUUGGGAAAGAAAAGCAGCAGGUUAAUACCCCGCUGUUAUGACGGUACCAAAAGAAUAAGCACCGGCUAACUUCGUG
Molecule: ribosomal RNA, 492 nt
Filed under: uncultured bacterium
Lineage: Bacteria
Description: partial 16S ribosomal RNA
Rfam family: Bacterial small subunit ribosomal RNA
Source: RNAcentral